AUUUUCUAAACUUUAACUUUAGUUCAUACUUUAGUUUAGCCAUACUAAGUCAAUAAUACACAAGGUGAAAAGAUGUUAAAACUGUCAUUACUUGCUCAAAGACUGUGUUUUUAUUUUAGGGACAAACCCUGUGGCAUUUUCUACCCUACUGUUCACCACAGAGGUCCAAAUGAGCAUGGCAAAUGUAGAAGACUCAAGUUAUCUUUAUAAUAUUACAAUUGUAUGUCUCACAACAAUAUAACAUACAGUUAAAUACAUUGUCAUCUACUGUACCUAUAAAUUGUGCUGGGAAACAGUUGGUGUCUUGUGUUUUACCUAAAGGAUUAAAUAUGAUGAUUUUAUGAUGAUGAUUGGUAGUGGGACUGUUAAUAAUACUGCUGAAUACUGUCACUUGUACAUACUGUAUUUCUCUGUUUUAGAGAGAUGUCUUUCAUUUGCUUCAUACUUCAGAAGGUAAUAGUUUUUAGACAAUAAUACCUUUGCAUUGUUACUUUUCAGCUGCAUUUUUAUUUCUUUUUGAGGGAUUGCCAUUGCAGUAAAUCCACCCCAAAGAGGCUCAAAUACAGAAGACAGUGGUAUUCUUUUUGAGUAUUGUAUUGUAGUGCCAAAUAUCUCAAGAUAAUGUUUGAUGUACUGUAGGGUGGAGUUAAAACAGAAUAACCUGUUAUUUCUUUAUAAUUCUAGAAUUUACAUUCAUAAGACUUGAUUUUGUUAUGGAAUGACCCACUGUUGAAAUGCAGUUUCACUGUGAUUUAUGUCUUUUCUUUUACCUUUAGGGAGGAACUUUUCAACAGCCACAUCACAGCACAUCACUGAAUGCAUGAAGCCUAUUUUUCAUGAAAACGACAUGUAAAAGUUGAAGACAGAGAACUUACAGAUGUUGGCCUUAACCUGUGUCAUUCUGGACAGACGUCUAUUCCAGUCCUACCUACACCACACAAGACUUUUUUCUGCUUUUAUUUGGAUGGCUGUCUACUUAAAAGUUCUCUUUAAUUAGACGUAUGCAAAUAUAACUUGAACUUGAACUGCAAAAACAAAGAACUUGAUCCAGUUUUCGAGAAUCCCUUAAGUCAAAGGGA
This is a long non-coding RNA of Myxocyprinus asiaticus (Chinese sucker), 1079 nucleotides long. RefSeq lists it as uncharacterized. NCBI's taxonomy places the organism in Eukaryota, Metazoa, Chordata, Actinopteri, Cypriniformes, Catostomidae. The transcript is spliced from 3 exons. The record is from RefSeq and is a predicted model, not a curated record.